RNAcentral lists this transfer RNA (76 nucleotides) under Micavibrio aeruginosavorus EPB. RNAcentral describes it as "tRNA-Ala (TGC) (tRNA-Ala-TGC-1-1)". It matches the Rfam family "tRNA". From Rfam's summary of the family: Transfer RNA (tRNA) molecules are approximately 80 nucleotides in length. Their secondary structure includes four short double-helical elements and three loops (D, anti-codon, and T loops). Lineage: Bacteria; Pseudomonadati; Bdellovibrionota; Bdellovibrionia; Bdellovibrionales; Pseudobdellovibrionaceae. The record is from RNAcentral. RNAcentral also lists the same sequence under 2 other names.
GGGCCCAUAGCUCAGCUGGGAGAGCGCCUGAUUUGCAUUCAGGAGGUCAGGAGUUCGAUCCUCCUUGGGUCCACCA